This 483-nucleotide ribosomal RNA is filed under the name uncultured bacterium. Its description in RNAcentral is "partial 16S ribosomal RNA". It matches the Rfam family "Bacterial small subunit ribosomal RNA", at positions 30 to 506 of the family's 1533-position model. The record is from RNAcentral.
AUUGAACGCUGGCGGCAGGCCUAACACAUGCAAGUCGAGCGGAUGAAGGGAGCUUGCUCCUGGAUUCAGCGGCGGACGGGUGAGUAAUGCCUAGGAAUCUGCCUGGUAGUGGGGGAUAACGUCCGGAAACGGGCGCUAAUACCGCAUACGUCCUGAGGGAGAAAGUGGGGGAUCUUCGGACCUCACGCUAUCAGAUGAGCCUAGGUCGGAUUAGCUAGUUGGUGGGGUAAAGGCCUACCAAGGCGACGAUCCGUAACUGGUCUGAGAGGAUGAUCAGUCAAACUGGAACUGAGACACGGUCCAGACUCCUACGGGAGGCAGCAGGGGGGAAUAUUGGACAAUGGGCGAAAGCCUGAUCCAGCCAUGCCGGGUGGGUGAAGAAGGUCUUCGGAUUGUAAAGCACUUUAAGUUGGGAGGAAGGGCAGUAAGUUAAUACCUUGCUGUUUUGACGUUACCAACAGAAUAAGCACCGGCUAACUUCGU